UGCUUCGUGAGGUGCUCACUGGAGCCACAGC
RNAcentral lists this small RNA (31 nucleotides) under Bombyx mori (domestic silkworm). Its description in RNAcentral is "ovarian small RNA-34288". The record is from RNAcentral. Lineage: Eukaryota; Metazoa; Arthropoda; Insecta; Lepidoptera; Bombycidae.